Long non-coding RNA from Monopterus albus (swamp eel), 217 nucleotides. RefSeq lists it as uncharacterized. Lineage: Eukaryota; Metazoa; Chordata; Actinopteri; Synbranchiformes; Synbranchidae. The record is from RefSeq and is a predicted model, not a curated record. The transcript is spliced from 3 exons.
AUGUUUUACAAAAGCGUGUAUGUUAACCGAGAUCAUUUCAUUCAUAUCAGAGGCAGCUUAUCGCAGCAUUAACGGCACGCGCCCCGAAGAGCAGCUCACUAUUUUAGAGCAUAUGAACAAGCUUUACGUGAAGAGCAAACACUCGAGAGAGUAAACUGCAAGGCGACCGAAACAGGCGCUCUGCGUGAUCAGCAACAGCAUCCCCUAACUCAGGAAA